GUGCUGGCCGAGCGCGGGGCGGGCAGGCGAGCGCGGCGGCGGCGGCGAGCGUGGACAGAAGUGGCGGUUGCUGACGCCUGGAAAUCCCCCUGAAGGUGGAGCACUACCCAACCCCCCUGGGUCCCACCCUCCCUCAAGGCCUCCUCCACCUCCACCUCCACCCCGCCUGGCCUGGCGUCCACCUCUUCGGCUCCUACCUGGGUGCAAUCGAGUUAAAUGGCUGAUAAGCAGAUCAGCCUGCCAGCCAAGCUCAUCAAUGGCGGCAUCGCCGGGCUGAUCGGUGUCACCUGCGUGUUUCCCAUCGACCUGGCCAAGACCAGGCUGCAGAACCAGCAGAACGGCCAGCGCGUGUACACCAGCAUGUCCGACUGCCUCAUCAAGACCGUCCGCUCCGAGGGCUACUUCGGCAUGUACCGGGGAGCUGCUGUGAACUUGACCCUCGUCACCCCUGAGAAGGCCAUCAAGCUGGCAGCCAACGACUUCUUCCGACAUCAGCUCUCUAAGGACGGGUGAGGGUCCUGCCUGGCAGACACUCGAGGGGUCUUUGGCUUCAGAUAAAG
Molecule: small RNA, 560 nt
Filed under: Pan troglodytes (chimpanzee)
Lineage: Eukaryota; Metazoa; Chordata; Mammalia; Primates; Hominidae
Description: retained intron
Source: RNAcentral